UGAGUGGUUUCUAUCCUUUCCCCUAGGAGGAGAGCAAGUUACCUCGAACCUUAAGCACAAUAGACCUUAUCAAUGGCGUGUUCUGAUACUUUUUUGUAAAUUAGAACCAGAAAUUGCAUGAGAGAUUCUGUUUGGGUCCACACUUAGCCCUGAUCUAGUCUGCAAUUGGAUGGUUAAAUCUUGAGUGUUAUGCAUACCCACGCGGAAUUUGCAAGAACACCCAGGCAGAGGGCAUGAAGCUUCUGGUAGAGUGUGAGGUCCUCUUUGACAAGGACAGAGCGAGGGAGAAGGAAAGCUGCGAUCCGUCUGGUUUGUAAUCUAUAGAUGAGAAUAAGAAUGUUCAACAAGGAUGAUGGGACCAUAAAACAAUUGAAUACUCAAUACCUACAAGAACAGGAAGGCUGAGGGAAGCUUCUGGGGAAUGGGGAGCCAUGAAUUGUUCAUCCGCGUUGAGAGUGACAGAGCGAGGGAGAAGGAAAGCCGCGACCUGUCUGGUGUUGUAAUAUAAAUCUAUCAAUCUUUUAUAAGAUGAAACAACAAUUGUUCAAGAUCGAAAAGCCCUCUUCCCUUCUGGAUGGCAGUUGAAUUAGCCAGGUUGGAUCAGCAUCGUAUCUCUAUUCCACAUCCCUUUGAAGAAAUCGAAGGCAGUUUGGCUCACAAAUUGACCUUAGAACUGUGGGAGAAAGAGGAGGAGGUUCUGAGCCGCAGGAUUGACCUCAAGGACACAAGGCGCAUGAGCAUUCAGAACGAAAUCUACCAACUACUGGAAUUCUAUUUUGUUUUGCAGGGAUUCGUUUUGACUGCCCUGUUUCAGACAUUCCAAGCCCCCAAUCACGUUACUUGCAAAUCCUCGUGGAGCCCCUUUGCCUUCUCUUUACUGGUUUUAUUGGCUGCUCUUGCUGCACUUCACUACAAAUUCAAGGACCAGUUAGAGAUUGAAGAGCUUCUGCAAGAAGAGAAACAGGACUGCAGGUCCCUGUUCAAUUGUAUUACAGAUCUCAGAUCUCAAGGUGCUCUCUUUGAUAUCAACACCAUCAAAAGAUCCCAUUGCAGCCCUUCCCCUGCACCCAAAGUUGGGUUAAGGUGUUGGAGCUACUGGUUGGGUGAUCCAGGGGCUCUCACUGUUGUCUUGGUUGCUUUCUCUGCAGUCAUUUUCUCCUCUUGUCGGUUUGUCCUCUGCUCAGACCCAAUUUGAUUAAGGGAGCGCUCCUAGAAACCCAGAAAAAUGUGCUUCAAUUUGUGGAGAUCGGAGCAAACAGUGAGAAUAACAUCCAAUGUGGCGGCACCUGAGAAUGGAGAAAAGAGGGUUUGGGAUAAGCAGACUGUUAUUCAAAACCAAACAGAGGACACCAUCGUCCUUCGUGAUAUGCACAGGUAUGUAUGGAGGCAGGUGAGAAUGGAGCUUCCGCCACAGGAGUGUAAGAAGAUAUCUAUAAAGGCACCCACUACAUUCUUCCGGAUGGGAGCAAUGCUCAAGCUGAAUGAUCAACAUGAGAAAGAUCUAAAGAUCUAUAUUGAUACAGAACAGCUUGCGGGUCGGAACAACAUCUCUAUUUGCAAGGAUGAGAAUGGUAGGUAUUUUCUGCAGGAGCAUGGCGAUCAAUAACUAUGUCCAGGGUUGUGUUGUUUUGGGAGUCUUUUGUAGACCUAGUGGUCUAGUGCUUUCUGUAUCUUUCUACUCAGUACCGUAAUUCUUCUACAAUAUAUAGUACACCUAAUCUUCAGAGAAAAUUUCAGUUUCCAUGUCCAGUAAUCACUAGGAGCUGAUUCAAGAUAUGUCUUAUGUGAUAUGUUGUUAUGUAAUGGUAUCUAAAGAUUUCGCGAUGUAUUCAAUUCUUUUCAAAUAAUAAGACAUUGAAUAUACUAUUUGUCUUCCAA
Long non-coding RNA from Cryptomeria japonica (Japanese cedar), 1878 nucleotides. RefSeq lists it as uncharacterized. Lineage: Eukaryota; Viridiplantae; Streptophyta; Pinopsida; Cupressales; Cupressaceae. The record is from RefSeq and is a predicted model, not a curated record. The transcript has 2 exons.